This 1169-nucleotide long non-coding RNA is filed under the name Brassica rapa (field mustard). RNAcentral describes it as "long non-coding RNA (BRAP_LNC001878)". The record is from RNAcentral. Lineage: Eukaryota; Viridiplantae; Streptophyta; Magnoliopsida; Brassicales; Brassicaceae.
ACCUAUUAAAUAAUUUAAUUAGGCAGCACAAUAGCAAACCUACACCUAUACCUAUCAACACUAUUCCUAGCCCCAGAAAGAUCUCGUUUUCAUCUGAAGUGUUGACGUUAUCAUCAUCAUAGUGCGAAGACAUCUAUAAAGAACGUAAGAAAAAAAAAUUCGUAAGUUUAUAUGCAGUACUAAUACUUGGUGCCCUAGAAAAACAAUGAAAUUUGGAGCACAGUAGAUAAAUAUUAAAUAUAUUUUAAUAAAUCUAAUUAAAUAAUAGCUUUUUGAGAAAGUUGCAUUAAUUUUAGAAAAUUUAUAUUAUUUUAAGAAGUAUUUAUUAAAGUUCAAUACAUAAAUCAGAAAUAAAUUUGAAGUUCAAUACAUAAAUUGGAAAUUAUUUUUCUAUCUUAUACAUUUGUUUCUGAAUUUAUUUGUUACUCUUUUUUCUCUUAUAAAAAAUUCUUUCAAAUCUAUUGAUUUAGAUAAUAUUCAAAGUGAAUCGAUGUAAAACUUGUUUUAUAAAAUUAGCUAGAUAGUAUAACAAUCUAAUAUGUAUUGUUCCUAUUUAAAAAUAUACAUACUUUUUAAAAAAUUAAAUAAACUAUAUCAUGCAAACUGAUUAGAUUUUUAACAAAUAUUAUUGCUAGUUCUUAGAAUAUGACUGUUUUUAUUUUUGUUUAAUUUAUUUUAAAGAAGAUUUUUUACAUUGGUUUUAUUCAAUAUAUAUAUAUAUAUAUAUAUGUGUGUGUGUGUAUAUUUAAUUUAUUAUUCACUUUACAAAUUUUGACCAUAUUUUUAUUAUUAAUCAAUUUUAUUAGGUAAUCUUAAUUUAUUUUAAUAAUAUAUAUUUUAUUUAGAAGAUAUAUUGUGUACCACAAUUUUGGAUCAAGUAACAUUUUGAAUCGCUUUUUCAAAUAGAAAGUUUGAACGUUAAAAUAUAUAUAUACAUGCUAUAUGUUUAAUUACUGUAAACAUACAACGUACACUAUGGGUGGAGGUUGAUGUCGUAGAUUGAUAUUCAAAGUGAAUCGAUGUCGUAGAUUGCUUCGAUAGUGUUCCGUACCGUGGUGCGUGAGAAAAGGGCCACCCGUGAGAUAAUGUAGACUUAAAUUUCUUUAGGGGACUUCCCAGGUGAGAGAGACUGUGGUGGAACCAAGUUGAUUUCUGCAGAAGUGUUUCUG